CAGCGGCCCUAGUGGUGAUCGUUAUUAUUGGGCCUAAAGCGUCCGUAGCCGGUUCGGUAAAUCUCUGGGUAAAUCGUUGGGCUUAACUCAGCGAAUUCUGGGGAGACUGCCGAACUUGGGACCGGGAGAGGUCGGAGGUACUCCAGGGGUAGGGGUGAAAUCCUGUAAUCCUUGGGGGACCACCGGUGGCGAAAGCGUCCGACCAGAACGGGUCCGACGGUAAGGGACGAAGCCCUGGGUCGCGAACCGGAUUAGAUACCCGUGUAGUCC
Molecule: ribosomal RNA, 270 nt
Filed under: uncultured archaeon
Lineage: Archaea
Description: partial 16S ribosomal RNA
Rfam family: Archaeal small subunit ribosomal RNA
Source: RNAcentral